This 253-nucleotide ribosomal RNA is filed under the name uncultured Dorea sp. RNAcentral describes it as "partial 16S ribosomal RNA". It matches the Rfam family "Bacterial small subunit ribosomal RNA", at positions 524 to 776 of the family's 1533-position model. Lineage: Bacteria; Bacillati; Bacillota; Clostridia; Lachnospirales; Lachnospiraceae. The record is from RNAcentral.
UACGUAGGUGGCGAGCGUUAUCCGGAAUGAUUGGGCGUAAAGGGAGCGUAGACGGCGAGACAAGUCUGAUGUGAAAGCCCGGGGCUCAACCCCGGGACUGCAUUGGAAACUAUGUAACUAGAGUACCGGAGAGGUAAGCGGAAUUCCUAGUGUAGCGGUGAAAUGCGUAGAUAUUAGGAGGAACACCAGUGGCGAAGGCGGCUUACUGGACGGAAACUGACGUUGAGGCUCGAAAGCGUGGGGAGCAAACAGG